RNAcentral lists this ribosomal RNA (567 nucleotides) under Morchella americana. Its description in RNAcentral is "eukaryotic LSU rRNA". It matches the Rfam family "Eukaryotic large subunit ribosomal RNA", at positions 59 to 638 of the family's 3401-position model. Lineage: Eukaryota; Fungi; Ascomycota; Pezizomycetes; Pezizales; Morchellaceae. The record is from RNAcentral.
AAGAAACCAACAGGGAUUGCCUCAGUAACGGCGAGUGAAGCGGCAAAAGCUCAAAUUUUAAAGCUGGCACCUCCGGUGUCCGCGUUGUAAUUUUGUGAGGCAUCUCCGGGUGGGGCGCCGGCCUAAGUUCCUUGGAACAGGACGUCAUAGAGGGUGAGAAUCCCGUGCUUGGCUGGCUGUCCCCGUCCAUGUGAGGUGUCUUCGACGAGUCGAGUUGUUUGGGAAUGCAGCUCAAAAUGGGUGGUAAAUUUCAUCUAAAGCUAAAUAUUGGUGGGAGACCGAUAGCGCACAAGUAGAGUGAUCGAAAGAUGAAAAGCACUUUGAAAAUAGAGUUAAAAAGUACGUGAAAUUGUUGAAAGGGAAGCGCUUGAGACCAGACUUCGGUGGGGAGUGAUCAGCCGUCCUUCUGGGCGGUGCACUUGCCCCCCUCCGGGCCAGCAUCGGUUGGGACGGCGGGAUAAAGGUCCCGGGAAUGUGGCUCCUCUCGGGGAGUGUUAUAGCCCGGGUGAAUGCCGCCAGCCCCGACCGAGGACCGCGCCUUCGGGCUAGGAUGCUUGGCAUAAUGGU